This 1551-nucleotide ribosomal RNA is filed under the name Salmonella enterica subsp. enterica serovar Worthington. Its description in RNAcentral is "bacterial SSU rRNA". It matches the Rfam family "Bacterial small subunit ribosomal RNA". Lineage: Bacteria; Pseudomonadati; Pseudomonadota; Gammaproteobacteria; Enterobacterales; Enterobacteriaceae. The record is from RNAcentral.
AAAUUGAAGAGUUUGAUCAUGGCUCAGAUUGAACGCUGGCGGCAGGCCUAACACAUGCAAGUCGAACGGUAACAGGAAGCAGCUUGCUGCUUUGCUGACGAGUGGCGGACGGGUGAGUAAUGUCUGGGAAACUGCCUGAUGGAGGGGGAUAACUACUGGAAACGGUGGCUAAUACCGCAUAACGUCGCAAGACCAAAGAGGGGGACCUUCGGGCCUCUUGCCAUCAGAUGUGCCCAGAUGGGAUUAGCUUGUUGGUGAGGUAACGGCUCACCAAGGCGACGAUCCCUAGCUGGUCUGAGAGGAUGACCAGCCACACUGGAACUGAGACACGGUCCAGACUCCUACGGGAGGCAGCAGUGGGGAAUAUUGCACAAUGGGCGCAAGCCUGAUGCAGCCAUGCCGCGUGUAUGAAGAAGGCCUUCGGGUUGUAAAGUACUUUCAGCGGGGAGGAAGGUGUUGUGGUUAAUAACCACAGCAAUUGACGUUACCCGCAGAAGAAGCACCGGCUAACUCCGUGCCAGCAGCCGCGGUAAUACGGAGGGUGCAAGCGUUAAUCGGAAUUACUGGGCGUAAAGCGCACGCAGGCGGUCUGUCAAGUCGGAUGUGAAAUCCCCGGGCUCAACCUGGGAACUGCAUUCGAAACUGGCAGGCUUGAGUCUUGUAGAGGGGGGUAGAAUUCCAGGUGUAGCGGUGAAAUGCGUAGAGAUCUGGAGGAAUACCGGUGGCGAAGGCGGCCCCCUGGACAAAGACUGACGCUCAGGUGCGAAAGCGUGGGGAGCAAACAGGAUUAGAUACCCUGGUAGUCCACGCCGUAAACGAUGUCUACUUGGAGGUUGUGCCCUUGAGGCGUGGCUUCCGGAGCUAACGCGUUAAGUAGACCGCCUGGGGAGUACGGCCGCAAGGUUAAAACUCAAAUGAAUUGACGGGGGCCCGCACAAGCGGUGGAGCAUGUGGUUUAAUUCGAUGCAACGCGAAGAACCUUACCUGGUCUUGACAUCCACGGAAGUUUUCAGAGAUGAGAAUGUGCCUUCGGGAACCGUGAGACAGGUGCUGCAUGGCUGUCGUCAGCUCGUGUUGUGAAAUGUUGGGUUAAGUCCCGCAACGAGCGCAACCCUUAUCCUUUGUUGCCAGCGAUUCGGUCGGGAACUCAAAGGAGACUGCCAGUGAUAAACUGGAGGAAGGUGGGGAUGACGUCAAGUCAUCAUGGCCCUUACGACCAGGGCUACACACGUGCUACAAUGGCGCAUACAAAGAGAAGCGACCUCGCGAGAGCAAGCGGACCUCAUAAAGUGCGUCGUAGUCCGGAUUGGAGUCUGCAACUCGACUCCAUGAAGUCGGAAUCGCUAGUAAUCGUGGAUCAGAAUGCCACGGUGAAUACGUUCCCGGGCCUUGUACACACCGCCCGUCACACCAUGGGAGUGGGUUGCAAAAGAAGUAGGUAGCUUAACCUUCGGGAGGGCGCUUACCACUUUGUGAUUCAUGACUGGGGUGAAGUCGUAACAAGGUAACCGUAGGGAACCUGCGGUUGGAUCACCUCCUUACCUUAAAGAA